CCGCUGAGACCUGGGAGUNGACGAAAGAGAACCGGCGCACAGGCUGCUGCAUGUCUGUCGUCAGCUCGUGUCGUGAGAUGUUGGGUUAAGUCCCGCAACGAGCGCAACCCUUGGUCCUUAGUUGCUACGCAAGAGCACUCUAAGGAGACUGCCGGUGACAAACCGGAGGAAGGUGGGGAUGACGUCAAGUCCUCAUGGCCCUUAUGGGUAGGGCUUCACACGUCAUACAAUGGUCGGAACAGAGGGUUGCCAACCCGCGAGGGGGAGCUAAUCCCAGAAAACCGAUCGUANUCCGGAUUGCACUCUGCAACUCGAGUGCAUGAAGCUGGAAUCGCUAGUAAUCGCGGAUCAGCAUGCCGCGGUGAAUACGUUC
This 373-nucleotide ribosomal RNA is filed under the name Burkholderia sp. LGI-P3RJ. RNAcentral describes it as "bacterial SSU rRNA". It matches the Rfam family "Bacterial small subunit ribosomal RNA", at positions 996 to 1373 of the family's 1533-position model. Lineage: Bacteria; Pseudomonadati; Pseudomonadota; Betaproteobacteria; Burkholderiales; Burkholderiaceae. The record is from RNAcentral.